GUCUAUUUAAAGCCAAAUUGCAGAUAACAUUUUUCCGUAUCUUCGCUCCUCUUCAUGCCACAUAUCUACACACUACAGCAGUUAUGUUUUGACUAAGUAACUGCCGAAGUGGAUCCCCAACAGAUGCACUUUCGGGCUUAUAUCGACCGGCCACUGCUAUAUAUGUACCCGGUUUUGCAUCUCUGAAGCUUGGCAUGCCAAACUGCCAAUAAUGUUGGUUCUGCCCCUGGAAGGACGGGAACCACUUUACUGUACGAGCUCUAAUGUUGAGACAGGUAGGUAUGUUCCUAUCAUGUGACGGAGUGUUUCCAGCUGCAGAUUCUUCAUUUUCUACCUCUUGAAGUAGCUGCCUAGUCAAGUUAGACCCAAGGUCUAGGCCCUUCUCAAUUCAUUAUUUGCCUUAUGUUUGGCGCACAUCAUAUGUUAUCCAUACUCCAAAUGUCCAAUCCUGGAUGUUCUGGGGUGUUGAGUUCCACGUUGGCUCUGGGAAGAGAAAUUGGAUCUUUUAUAUGGUCAUUGGCUAUCCUCACUUCUUCAUUACCUGAAAGAUAAAGUUUAAGUCCCUAAAACGUGGGGACUUUCAGUAUAGGGUAAAAAUAGCCAAUUUCACGUGGGCAUAUCAGAUCGUGACAUACGGAAAGAUGAUGGACGUGGCUCAAUGAACAGCUGGAAAGAGCUCAAUGGCAGACCAUACACCAACUUGUUUGAGAAAGUUACAAAAGAACAAUACUCCCGGAGGGAAGGUCAACGAGCCCUCACUAGCCAUUCUGUAACCAACAAUUGGGUGAUGUUGGGCGUAAUCUCUUUGUUAUUAAUGUCAUUUAAUUAGUCAUUUAUCAUGUUUUAUUCAGUGGUUAAUGCGACUCUCCAUCAACAGUCUUUUUUUCC
Capsicum annuum is the source of this 888-nucleotide long non-coding RNA. RefSeq lists it as uncharacterized. NCBI's taxonomy places the organism in Eukaryota, Viridiplantae, Streptophyta, Magnoliopsida, Solanales, Solanaceae. The record is from RefSeq and is a predicted model, not a curated record. The transcript is spliced from 2 exons.